UCUCUCUCAGGAAAUUAUAUUGGAAUGCAUGUGAGAAAGUGAUUUCUAAAAUGCCUCAUAAUGGUCUGUGUGGGUAUACAUACAUAUACACAGAUAAAUAAUUCAAAACUUUGGUACCUUAUUGUAGAUGUUUGUUCCUUGAACAUCUUGCAUACCAAGAUAAAUUAUUUUGGAUCACCUAAUAUCAAAAAGUGACAUACCCAAACCAAACCAAAACAAAAAAACAAAAUGUGGAUAGGCAUGGUAGCUGACGCCUGUAAUCCCAGCACUUUUGGAGGCUGAGGUGGGAGAACUCAGGAGUUUAAGACCAGCCUGAGCAACAUAGCAAGACCUCGUCUCUGCUAAAGAAAAAAUAAAAUGGGAGGUGGGGUGCCAGCCACAGUGGCUGAUGCCUGUAAUUCUGGCACUUUGGGAGGCCAAGGCAGGUGGAUCACUUGAGGUCAGGAGCUCAAGUGAUCCUCCCGCUUCAGUCUCCCAAGGUGCUGGGAUUACAGGUGUGAGCCUGUGUGCCUGGCCACAUUUUACUUUUCUUAGAGCAUAUUUAACACUUGGGUUUAUAUUUCACUAUUUGUGUAUCUUU
Molecule: long non-coding RNA, 580 nt
Filed under: Homo sapiens (human)
Lineage: Eukaryota; Metazoa; Chordata; Mammalia; Primates; Hominidae
Description: HSALNT0124679
Source: RNAcentral